AUUGCCCUACGGGGGGCAGCAGUGGGGAAUAUUGCACAAUGGGGGGAACCCUGAUGCAGCGACGCCGCGUGAGUGAAGAAGUAUUUCGGUAUGUAAAGCUCUAUCAGCAGGGAAGAUAAUGACGGUACCUGACUAAGAAGCCCCGGCUAACUACGUGCCAGCAGCCGCGGUAAUACGUAGGGAGCAAGCGUUAUCCGGAUUUACUGGGUGUAAAGGGCGUGUAGGCGGGCUUGUAAGUCAGAAGUGAAAUCUGGGGGCUUAACCCCCAAACUGCUUUUGAAACUGCGGGUCUU
RNAcentral lists this ribosomal RNA (293 nucleotides) under uncultured bacterium. Its description in RNAcentral is "partial 16S ribosomal RNA". It matches the Rfam family "Bacterial small subunit ribosomal RNA", at positions 333 to 643 of the family's 1533-position model. The record is from RNAcentral.